AGAUCUAACAGAGGCGUAUUUAGUACGCCCGG
RNAcentral lists this small RNA (32 nucleotides) under Bombyx mori (domestic silkworm). RNAcentral's name for it is "ovarian small RNA-11960". Lineage: Eukaryota; Metazoa; Arthropoda; Insecta; Lepidoptera; Bombycidae. The record is from RNAcentral.